CGAUCGAGACCCGCACCCCUAGUUGCUACCAAGGAAGUUUUCCGAGGGGCACUCUAGGGGGACUGCCGUCGAUAAGACGGAGGAAGGAGCGGGCCACGGCAGGUCAGUAUGCCCCGANUCCCCCGGGCUACACGCGAGCUGCAAUGGCAGGGACAAUGGGUUCCGACCUUGAAAAAGGAAGGCAAUCUCUAAACCCUGUCGCAGUUGGGAUCGAAGGCUGAAACUCGCCUUCGUGAACAUGGAAUGCCUAGUAAUCGCGCGUCAUCAUCGCGCGGUGAAUACGUCCCCGCUCCUUGCACACACCGCCCGUCGCUCCAUCCGAGUGGGGUUUGGGUGAGGCGUGGUCUUUAUGGCUGCGUCGAAUCUGAGUUCCGCAAGGAGGGAGAAGUCGUAACAAGGUAACC
Molecule: ribosomal RNA, 404 nt
Filed under: uncultured archaeon
Lineage: Archaea
Description: bacterial SSU rRNA
Rfam family: Archaeal small subunit ribosomal RNA
Source: RNAcentral